Molecule: ribosomal RNA, 312 nt
Filed under: Triticum aestivum (bread wheat)
Lineage: Eukaryota; Viridiplantae; Streptophyta; Magnoliopsida; Poales; Poaceae
Description: partial small subunit ribosomal RNA
Source: RNAcentral
AUGGCGGAGCUCGAGCAACGACUGGUGCGGCAAGCCAGCCAGCCAGCGCUCGAGCAAGCAAGGAGGGGCCAGCCAAGCCAUGCGGAGCUGGCGGUGGGGCUGGCCAAGUCGGUGGUGGAGGGGACGCUGAGCAAGGCGCACGCGGCGGUGCAGGAGGAGGCCUUCCUCAGCGCGCGCCGCGACCUCGUCUCCAUCACGGGGGAGUUAGAGAUGAUGCUGGUGUUCAAGGCCAGGGUCGCCGACGUCAGCACCACCUGCUCCGUCCAGCUGGUUCUGCAGACCUCACCGUAUAGCUGGUGUUCAGGUGCCUAG